This is a long non-coding RNA of Aricia agestis (brown argus), 160 nucleotides long. RefSeq lists it as uncharacterized. The record is from RefSeq and is a predicted model, not a curated record. The transcript is spliced from 4 exons. Lineage: Eukaryota; Metazoa; Arthropoda; Insecta; Lepidoptera; Lycaenidae.
GUAUUUGUGUGUACACUAAUAAUAUGAAUUGCACAGAGCCAAUAUCCUUCUUAACUUAAAUAAAUACACGGUAUAAAAUCGUUUAACAUUAAAAAUACUUUUACCUUAUUAGAGAUUACUAUAAUAAAUGAUAUGCUGAUGAUUAAACAGGUGUGUACGU